AAUUCUCACCAGGAUUUUAACCCGGAUUAAUGACUUGAAAAACCACCGUUGUAAUUCAACUAUAAGAAC
Molecule: transfer RNA, 69 nt
Filed under: Tachysurus nitidus
Lineage: Eukaryota; Metazoa; Chordata; Actinopteri; Siluriformes; Bagridae
Description: tRNA-Glu
Source: RNAcentral